UGACGCUGUGCGGCAGGCUUAACACAUGCAAGUCGACGCGGGGGAAGGUACGCUUGCUACCGGACCUAGCGGCGGACGGGUGAGUAAUGCUUAGGAAUCUGCCUAUUAGUGGGGGACAACAUCUCGAAAGGGAUGCUAAUACCGCAUACGUCCUACGGGAGAAAGCAGGGGAUCUUCGGACCUUGCGCUAAUAGAUGAGCCUAAGUCGGAUUAGCUAGUUGGUGGGGUAAAGGCCUACCAAGGCGACGAUCUGUAGCGGGUCUGAGAGGAUGAUCCGCCACACUGGGACUGAGACACGGCCCAGACUCCUACGGGAGGCAGCAGUGGGGAAUAUUGGACAAUGGGGGGAACCCUGAUCCAGCCAUGCCGCGUGUGUGAAGAAGGCCUUAUGGUUGUAAAGCACUUUAAGCGAGGAGGAGGCUACUUUAUUAUACCUAGAGAUUGGACGUUACCCCAGAAUAAGCACCGGUAACUCUGUGCACAGCG
This 486-nucleotide ribosomal RNA is filed under the name Acinetobacter baumannii. Its description in RNAcentral is "bacterial SSU rRNA". It matches the Rfam family "Bacterial small subunit ribosomal RNA", at positions 39 to 516 of the family's 1533-position model. The record is from RNAcentral. Lineage: Bacteria; Pseudomonadati; Pseudomonadota; Gammaproteobacteria; Moraxellales; Moraxellaceae.